UCUCUCAAACUUCUGGAGUACACACAUCUUUAACACAGAGAAGAUGAGAAAGAAAGGUUUUUUUGAGGCUGAUCUUUUUAGGCUGUGGCAAAACAAAAAUACAUUUCCCUGAACAAAACAAAAUUUUUUCUUCUUGAAGAAUGAAGAUGGAUGUAUUCCAGCUUCACCAAUCAAGAACAGUUCUUCAUCAAAGUUCCUUUGUAGAUCAGAAUGAGGAUGUCUUGGUGAUCUGAUGACCACAAAACAGACUGUAAUUGUCCACUCGCCUUCUCAUCUCUGACAGAUGCCCUCAGUCUCUAUGAGUUCCUCCUCCCAAGAGAACGUCAGUCAAUAUUAUCUUUGAGUCUCACAAGAGCUGAACAAUCUGUCAGGAUCAAAACAAGAGAGAGCAACUUUAGGGAUUGAACUCAGCUAGAAGAAAAAGAAUACAGGUCAGAAUGAGCAGGAACAUAUAAGAGAAAUGUUUGACUUGAAGAACACGAUGUGUUUUCCCAAAGAGUUUAAUGGCAGGAAGCUUCAAUCACAUUAUCAUUUCCUUUGCAGAGAAUGAGGAUGUCUUGGUGAUCUGAUGACCACAAAACAGACUGUAAUUGUCCACUUGACUUCUCAUCAUCUGACAGAUUCCCUCAGUCUCUAUGAGUUCCUCCUCCCAAGAGAACGUCAGUCAAUAUUAUCUUUGAGUCUCACAAGAACUGAACAAUCUGUCAGGAUCAAAACAAGAGAGAACACCUUUAGGGAUUGAGCUCAGCUAUAAGAAAAAGAAUACAGCAGGGACAUACUGUACAGUAUAAGAGAACAUUUGACUUGAAGAACACGAUGUGUUUUCCCAAAGAGUUUUACGGCAGGAAGCUUGAAUCACAUAAUCAUGUCAGCAUGAGGACGUCACUGGAAGAUCUGAAUUAUUGAUGUACUUGACAAUGAUGAUAAACUAUACAAUGUACUGAGACACAAUGAGAGCAGGGAUGUGAGUUCAGAAAAUGAUGCUGUUAAAUAUGUGACUCUAUUAGAAUUGUGAUAAGAUGUUAUGUAUAUACUAUUAAAAGUUUUAUACACUUGUGAAAAGGAAAAUUAUUUCUAUUAACUAAAUCAAAUUAACUUAAACAGUUUUGUUUCACAGUUUUUCUUAUUUUAUGAUAAUUGUCACAUGCAUAGUACUGUAUAUUUACAUCAACUGAAUAAGAAAUAAAUAAUUUUGUUAACAGCUAA
Long non-coding RNA from Carassius gibelio (silver crucian carp), 1206 nucleotides. RefSeq lists it as uncharacterized. The transcript is spliced from 6 exons. NCBI's taxonomy places the organism in Eukaryota, Metazoa, Chordata, Actinopteri, Cypriniformes, Cyprinidae. The record is from RefSeq and is a predicted model, not a curated record.